ACAGAGAUGGCGACCGUUGUUCGGAAUCACUGGGCUUAAAGGGCAUGUAGGCGGAGAGAAAAGUUGAAAGUGAAAGCCCAUGGCUUACCCAUGGAAUAGCUAUCAAAACUAUCUCUCUUGAGUGAGGUAGGGGGGAGUGGAACUCCUGGUGGAGCGGUGAAAUGCGUUGAUAUCAGGAGGAACGCCGGAGGCGAAAGCGACUCUCUGGACCUCAACUGACGCUGAGGUGCGAAAGCUGGGGGAGCAAACGG
Molecule: ribosomal RNA, 251 nt
Filed under: uncultured prokaryote
Description: partial 16S rRNA
Rfam family: Bacterial small subunit ribosomal RNA
Source: RNAcentral